This 253-nucleotide ribosomal RNA is filed under the name uncultured bacterium. RNAcentral's name for it is "partial 16S ribosomal RNA". It matches the Rfam family "Bacterial small subunit ribosomal RNA", at positions 524 to 776 of the family's 1533-position model. The record is from RNAcentral.
UACUAGGGGAGCAAGCGUUGUCCGGAUUUAUUGGGCGUAAAGCGUAUGUAGGCGGCUAGAUAAGUCAGGCGUGCAAGCCCGUGGCUCAACCACGGAAUUGCGUUUGAAACUGUUUAGCUUGAGUACAGGAGAGGAAAGCGGAAUUCCCAGUGUAGCGGUGAAAUGCAUUGAUAUUGGGAAGAACAUCUGUGGCGAAGGCGGCUUUCUGGUCUGUUACUGACGCUGAGAUACGAAAGCCAGGGUAGCGAACGGG